Long non-coding RNA from Frankliniella occidentalis (western flower thrips), 602 nucleotides. RefSeq lists it as uncharacterized. The transcript has 2 exons. NCBI's taxonomy places the organism in Eukaryota, Metazoa, Arthropoda, Insecta, Thysanoptera, Thripidae. The record is from RefSeq and is a predicted model, not a curated record.
UUGUGCGGGGGAGGCCUUCACCGCAUUGCAUCGCAUUGAGUUCUUCUUUCGCGGAUGUGUACUUUUGAACUGCUGUUGCGCCUGCCACACAUACUGCCAAUUUUGCCACUAACAUCCGCUUGUGUUUCUGUUUGUUCGCAGAGGGUGCAGCCGCGCGGCCCGCCGUCCGGCUGUUCUGGGCGUGCCUGGCGGUGUCACUGGUCUCGAGGUUGUUCGGCUGAGCGGCCCGUUUGAGUCUCCCUGAAGCAGACCAGAGUGGGCGCCGCGUGGAGGCCGGCGGCCGCCUCCUGACAGGCGCGGACGGAGGACGCCGCCGGCACGCCGGCCCGGGCCCAGCCCCGGCCCCGGGGCGUCUCAAGUGGACGUGACGUCGUCGUUGUCACUCCUGGGAGGGCGCGCCUGACCUGAGGGCAGCCCUCCGAUGCGGUGUCUCAGUGACGGAGGACCUCGUCUUUGUGAUUAACUUAAGCCAGUCGUGUGUAAGCGGAGGGCGCGUCGUGGCUCUGAACAAUGGACUACAAGUGGCCCAUUUGCGUUUCGUUUGAAGAAUCUCAUAUUGAUGUCUUGCCCUAUACGGCAAGGCCGAGAUAGAGAGAGAGAGU